UACGAACUGUGCAAACGUUAUUCGGAAUCACUGGGCUUAAAGGGUGCGUAGGCGGUCAUUUAGGUAGGGCGUGAAAGCCCCCGGCUCAACCGGGGAAUUGCGCCCUAAACCGGGUGACUGGAGUGAGAUAGGGGUGUGUGGAACUUCCGGUGGAGCGGUGAAAUGUGUUGAUAUCGGAAGGAACGCCGGUGGCGAAAGCGACACACUGGGUCUCAACUGACGCUGAGGCACGAAAGCCAGGGGAGCAAACGGG
RNAcentral lists this ribosomal RNA (253 nucleotides) under uncultured bacterium. RNAcentral describes it as "partial 16S ribosomal RNA". It matches the Rfam family "Bacterial small subunit ribosomal RNA", at positions 524 to 776 of the family's 1533-position model. The record is from RNAcentral.